Molecule: non-coding RNA, 1594 nt
Organism: Peromyscus maniculatus bairdii (prairie deer mouse)
Lineage: Eukaryota; Metazoa; Chordata; Mammalia; Rodentia; Cricetidae
Source: RefSeq, a predicted model, not a curated record
ACCGCCCUAAGUGGGCGCUUGAAGAGGGCCGGGCGCCAGCUCUCUCCGAGCUCUGCUGAGAUUUAGUUGCCAUUGUUAAGAAUAUUAGGAGGCGGAGUCUUUAACAGGUGACUUGGGCCCAAGGGCUCUGUUCUAAUAAAAGGAUUAGCACAUUAGCUCUGGAAGGCCUUUCUACCUUUUGCUCUUUUGUAUUUCUGCCCCGUGACAGCUUCUGCUAUGGAGUACUGGCCAGCAAGAAGGAGGACUUGGCCACACACUGGCAUCUUAAUCUUAGAUUACCCACUCUCCAGGAGUUUGAGCUAAUGAAAGACAUUUUUGAGGCAGUUUGCUGUGUAAACUAGAUUGAUUGGCCUCCACCUUGAGAUUUUCCUGCCUAAGCCUCCCAAGUAUUGGGAUUACAGGUCGAAUAUUGGGACUCCAAAUGAUCAAAGAAUGAGUUGUGCUGGAAGAAACCUGGCUGUACAGACUGAUAGAUAAGAAUAUAAGGGCUUGGGAGACCGCUCAGUGAUGGCAUGCUUGCCUAGCAUUCAAGGGUCCCUAGGUCUGAGCCCUAGUGCUGAUGAGAAACAAGCAAAAGUUCCCACCUCUAAAACACUUCUGGGCCAGUGAGACAGCUCAGCAGGAGACUGACAUUCAACAAUCCAAAGGGACACAUUUCUGUAAUCAAUGGAAAAAAUGCGGAGUAAAACAAAGCUAAUUCCAGAAUACAAGCGUUGUGUGACUCCAUUCACGUGGAAGGAUUGAAGAGAGGGAGUCUACAGGGAAGGACGGAUGCUCAGUGAUGGCUGUUUGAGAUGAUGGAUGACAGGCUGGAUCAUGAGGAUCCCCUGAACACUGAUGCCAGUUUUGUGUUGCUGGGGGUGUCACAAACUGUCCUGUGGUGACUCGCUGCCUCGCCAUAGGCCUAAAGCAAUGUGGAAGACCCACGGUGGACUAAAGCCUCUAAACCCGGGAGCUCAGAUCCACACAUUCUCGUUACAAGGUGAUUAUCACUGGAACAGAGAAGAGAAUAACACUGGUGGUUUCUUCCCGCAUGACGUGAGCUUUCUACGUCAACAGGCCGGACGGGGAGAGCCUCGUGUUCCGGGAGAGCCUCGUGUUCCGGAUUUGACUGUUUUUCCUAUUGUUGCUUAUAAAGUCACUUUAUCCCCUUUCCUUCUUACGAUAUGGAAGCUUACAAAGGGCUUGAUUGGCAAGUUAAAAUAUCAGGCAAGAACUGUUCCUAGUUAUGGUGCCCAAUGCAGGGCCUGAGAUGAUCCACUUUUCAUUGGAAGAAUCAUCUGAAUGGAAGCCAAGACCAUGACCUAUGGAAUCUGUCUUACCUGGUGCUAUUCCCUUGGGUGAAUUGUUGCCUUCAGCUUAGAAGCCUUAUGAGCACCAAGUGAUAAAGACACUGACGACAAGACACACUUGUUCCCUCCCACCCAAAAUGGUGGAGAUGUCAGGGGAACACCCCUACAGUCUGCACCAACCUCAUGGGAAACCCCAUUCCUGGAUGUAGAAUCACCACAUCAGUUGAUGAAUUAUCAUCCCUCCUCAUCAAGAGGUCUCUCCUGUUUGAAUUAAAUUUUUAUUAAUUUUGAUGGUAUCCAUA